UCGCCCACCAUUCGCACAUCAUAUCAGCGGCAUAAUGGAAAAUAUUCAAUUUAGUAGUAUUAGUAAAAGUGGCUGUAAAGUAGAAUAUUUGCCCUACGUCUGGUUGCCAAGAAGGUGGAGGACGAAGAAGAUAAAUCAGGUAUUGCGGUUCAUAUACGAAUCUCGGAAUUCUCAAAUCGUUUCGUUUAGUGCAAAUAACCUUAAAAACCAAUUUUUUGGGGUCACAGUUUUGAUGGUAGACAAGAACGCUCUACAAUUUGAAAGUGCUUUCCUUUUCGUAUUAAUUAUAUAUCCGCAGUUUGUUCUCUGAUGCCUGGUGUGUGAUAUUACUUCUGUUUUGAAUUUUGCAGCAAUUUGAAUUCGGAUCUUCACACAUUAAAAGAUGGUACCUUUAACAUAAUUGCUAUAGAUAUUAGGGUUUUUAUUUUUCAUUAAUAUUGUUUUUUGGUUUGAUUAUGAAACUGCAGAAUGAUUUAUCCCUGCCUUGAUUUUUUUUUUCUGUCUCAGCUCCCACUCUCUCUGCUCAAGACUGCACAGGGGCAUCCCAUGGUAUCUCUCUCUCCCUCUGUUUGUGCGUGCGUGUGUGUUCAUGUCUGUGUUAUAUGUCUCUUAACUGCAGAAACAACAACAACUACUACGCUUCAAGCCCAAACUUGUUGGGUUCACCUAUAUGCUUCCUUGGUAUCUUUCUUUUUUUUCAAACAUUGAUACCUAUUAUGUUCUAUUUCGACCUUUUUCAUUCCAAUGCCCAAUAAUGUGUCUUUUGAAAACACAUUAGGGUUGUCUAGAAUUUGCCCCAAGGGCUUAAGUCAAGUGACAAAGUUUGAGGGACUUAUGACUUAGGUCACAGGUUGGAGCCUUCCACCAUGCAAACUAAGCCUAGUGCUUAAGUUGAAAAGGGCAGAAGCAGUAUUGUCAAAGGCUCAGGCCUGAAGCUUAGAAAAGCUUGAGGAGAGUGCUUCGCGUUGCUUAAGUUGCGCUUCAGAGUAGGCAAGGCUCUAAGGCGUGGACACCUAUUGCCCAUGAAUUCUAUCUUGAAUUGAGCGGUACUAAACAAUACAAUUU
Molecule: long non-coding RNA, 1065 nt
Filed under: Nicotiana benthamiana
Lineage: Eukaryota; Viridiplantae; Streptophyta; Magnoliopsida; Solanales; Solanaceae
Description: long non-coding RNA (NBEN_LNC032059)
Source: RNAcentral